UACGGAGGGUGCGAGCGUUGUCCGGAAUCAUUGGGCGUAAAGGGCGCGUAGGUGGCCCGGUCAGUUCGUGGUGAAAGCGCGGGGCUCAACCCUGCGUCGGCCAUGAAUACUGCCGCGGCUGGAGCACUGUAGAGGCAGGCGGAAUUCCGGGUGUAGCGGUGGGAAUGCGUAGAGAUCCGGAAGAACACCGGUGGCGAAGGCGGCCUGCUGGGCAGUUGCUGGACACUGGAGGCGCGACAGCGUGGGGAGCA
This 251-nucleotide ribosomal RNA is filed under the name uncultured bacterium. RNAcentral's name for it is "partial 16S ribosomal RNA". It matches the Rfam family "Bacterial small subunit ribosomal RNA", at positions 524 to 770 of the family's 1533-position model. The record is from RNAcentral.